Sander lucioperca (pikeperch) is the source of this 236-nucleotide long non-coding RNA. RefSeq lists it as uncharacterized. The transcript is spliced from 2 exons. Lineage: Eukaryota; Metazoa; Chordata; Actinopteri; Perciformes; Percidae. The record is from RefSeq and is a predicted model, not a curated record.
CUUAAACUGUGGCUGCUCUCUGUUCUGAGCCGGAUAGUUAGUCUUGUCACGUAGGAAUACCACUCUGUCUGCUGUCGCUGUACCUGCCUCUUGACGCCACUUUCUGCCUGCAAUCACCAGCCCUGCAUUACUCUCCUUCCCUGCCUGUGUUCACUACCUGCUCUGUCAUCUGGGAGGAUUCCCCCACCUGUCCAUUCUGCUACAAUUCUCAGAUUCAGAAAUAAACUGUUUAAACG